CUCAGGAGCGUCCGACAUCUUCACGUUUUGGGGCUUAGAGAGUCCCAAGGAGGUGUCUCCCUCCCAGCAGCUCUUUGACCUGCCCUCCUCCCCCCACUGUCCCUCCAGCCCUCCUUCUCCACCUGUCAUCUCUGGGAAGCAGAAGGUGGAUUUAGAGAGGAGGCUUGAGGCACUGCAGCUGCAGAUAACCAGGUUGGAGUGUCGUAUGUUAGCAGACGUGGGGACCAUCAUGCAGCUGCUGCAGAUGCGGAUGCAGAUGAUCCCACCAUCCUACAGCACCCUGACAUCGCCCCCUAACUUACUUUCCUCCCCUAUCCUGUCCCCCACUGCCCCACCCACAGACCAGUCACCAUCCACUGACCCCCAGCAACAACAAUCUAAUGAAAACCAAGAUCAAGUUCUUCGACAUGUCCCAGAAUCCACUGAAUCCACUUCAUAUCAGUCACUGUUUUCUUCCCCCAACCUCCCCCAGAACAGCUCCACCUCUCCACCCCUUCCUCAAACCUCCAGCCAGUCUUCGUCCUCUGUCCAUCCUCAGACUAGAAGCCUGAGUCUAGAUCCAGCUCCCAGCGAGGCCUGAUCAACCAGUCCUUUGUGUCAGGACACAGAGCUUAUCCUCUGUCUCACAGGACCAGUCCGUCUGUGGACAAACCGUCACUGUCCUCCCACCAUCUGUCAGUCAUAGCUUCACCAAUCAACCAAUCAGAAGAGGGCCUCGCCCCUGCUCAGCCCAACACAGAAACAGCAUCUAGCCGAUCAGAGCAGCCCGGGAGCCCGCUGUGCCUGUCAUCAUUGGACAGUGGUGUCACCACACCGCAGAGUCUGCUCUAGACUGUGUGAACAUGCUUCUGCAGAAGGAUUUACAUCUGUCAAAAUAUAGAUCACAGUAAAUGACCAAAAACAAAUCCUGGAUCAAACCCACAUUUUAAAAACACUUUAGGGUGACAUACUUACACAAAUGCACCAAGUAGAGGUGGGCGAUCCUUUGCAGCGGCAAGGGUUCAAAUCUGACUUGUGGCCCUUUGUUAUCAUCCCGCCUCUCUUUCCUGUCUAUCCACUUUCACUAUCAAAUAAAGGGAAAAGCCCCCAAAUCAAUCUUUAAGAAAAAGUUGCUAAAAGAGAGGAGACAAACAAUUUUCUAUGCUAUGUCUAUGUUAACGUUGGUUUUGGAAAAGAAGGACAGACUGUGAAACAGUUAUGUGGUUCAAGAGUAUCUGAAUGGUGUAGAAUAAAACAGUAAUAGUAGUCAAGCAGUUGUAAAAAGCGGUUUGGGUGAUGGUGUUGGUCUUUGUUCUAAAAGGUACCAAGAUCACAGCGUGUGUUCCGAUUGCCUAGUAGUUCCCUUCGAAGUGGACUGCAUAGCAUAUCCCACCAUUUUAAGUAAGACUCCAAACCGUAGGGAGCAAACAGGCUCUGUUCAAAAAGAACUGCAAAUUGUGCAUGGAAGAACUAAACAUUGGUUCAUCACUUCGCCUGAUCCUAGCAAGCAAGAUUACCCAUCAGUCUCAUUAAAAACCAAAGCGAACAUCUUAUAAAUGAAUCAAAACACAUCUAUCCACAAGUUACAUACAUUUCAAUAGAACAAGUUUUGUAAUGGUAUCAGUUUUUGUUUCAGUGGAGUAAAGUUCCCACAGUAGCAGCAAUUUAUCCAAUGUGUUUACAUUACCAGGGUAACACAGAGAGGAAGUGAAAUUGUGUGAGUGACAUUGUGGUGUAUCCCAGUGGAGGAAUUUUGUUGAGUAGGAGUAGGGAGAAUUGUUUAUGUAAACUGUGGAUCAGAAUGCAGCCAUAGUUUUGUUUGUAUAGAAACAUUUCCAAGGCAAUUUUAUGGUGUAUGCAAACGGAUGAGAGUUUCUGGGAAUGUCAGUUUUUUACAAAUAAGUUGAUGUACGACAGAACACACAGUACAUCCAUACAUUCUAUUGUUAGUUUGUUAUUUAUGCUGUCAAACUGCAGAACUAUGAUACUACAACUAUGAUACAACACUAAUCUUAUUAGGUGGCUCAUGGUAUAGUAGGGGUGACUGUGGCUCAGAUGGUGUAGUGGGGGCAGCUGUGGCUCAGAUGGUGUGGUAGGGGCGGCUGUGGCUCAGGUGGUGCGGUAGGGGCGGCUGUGGCUCAGGUGGUGCAGUAGGGGCGG
Long non-coding RNA from Etheostoma spectabile (orangethroat darter), 2139 nucleotides. RefSeq lists it as uncharacterized. The transcript is spliced from 3 exons. NCBI's taxonomy places the organism in Eukaryota, Metazoa, Chordata, Actinopteri, Perciformes, Percidae. The record is from RefSeq and is a predicted model, not a curated record.